This 253-nucleotide ribosomal RNA is filed under the name uncultured bacterium. RNAcentral's name for it is "partial 16S ribosomal RNA". It matches the Rfam family "Bacterial small subunit ribosomal RNA", at positions 524 to 776 of the family's 1533-position model. The record is from RNAcentral.
GACGAAGGGGGCUAGCGUUGUUCGGCAUUACUGGGCGUAAAGCGUGUGUAGGUGGUUGUCGUAGUCAGGUGUGCAAGCCUUGAGCUCAACUCAAGAAAUGCACUUGAUACUGGGCAGCUAGAGGACCGGAGAGGAUAGUGGAAUUCCCAGUGUAGUGGUGAAAGACGGAGAGAUUGGGAAGAACACCAGUGGCGAAGGCGGCUAUCUGGACGGUUUCUGACACUAAGACACGAAAGCGUGGGGAGCAAACAGG